GCUUAGAAAUUAACCACGACAAAACGAUAACAACUUGUCCGCCAGAAAAUUACGGGCGAAAGCCUAAAACUCAAAAGACUUGACGGUGUCCCAAUCCUGCCUAGAGGAGCCUGUUUCAUAAUCGAUAAUCCCCGUUCAACCCGACCUUUCCUUGAAAUAUUCAGCCUAUAUACCGCCGUCCCUUUUAGCCUACCUUUUGAAAGACUAACAGUAAGCCUAACAGUUUAUUAACUAAAAAGUCAGGUCAAGGUGUAGCUUAUGGAAAGGAGAAAAUGGGCUACAUUUUCUUCUACAGAACAUCUACGAAAUGUUUUCUGAAAUGAUUACAUGAAGGAGGAUUUAGUAGUAAGCCAAAUUAGAGCAUUUGACUAAAUUAAGCUCUGGGACAUGU
This 391-nucleotide ribosomal RNA is filed under the name Cnemidophorus ruatanus. Its description in RNAcentral is "partial 12S ribosomal RNA". It matches the Rfam family "Bacterial small subunit ribosomal RNA", at positions 831 to 1384 of the family's 1533-position model. The record is from RNAcentral. Lineage: Eukaryota; Metazoa; Chordata; Lepidosauria; Squamata; Teiidae.